UAGUAAAAAUGUAUAAAAAAAAAUGAUAGUUUAUUCUUCAUCAAUUUAAAUUAAUAAUAAUAAUAAUUUAAUUUGAAGUUAAAGCAUUUGAAAAAGUUUUAAAUUUAAAACUAACAGUUUCAUCUAAAAAAAAUUAAAAACAUGUAUAAGUUAAAAAAAAAUAUAUAUAUAUAUAUAUACACAUAAAAGGGAAAAUGUAUAAAAAAAUAAUAAUGCAUUUUCUAUCAACUUGUUGUGAAAGAGAAAUGGUAAUUUAACUCAACCAGCCACUUCAAUCAUGCUGUGUCUAACUAUUUCUCAUGAAGGAAAAAAAGAAGAAGAAAAAGUUGUAUAAACCAAGCUAGCUAGCCCUUCUUUCUUGCCGCCCAUGAUCUCCCGGCUGCUUCAACUCUUUCUACAUCCUUUUGUUCUAGAGCAAAAAGAAGGUCCACUUUCUCGCUUCUUUUUCUUCUCCCUUAUGCAUUUUGUGUUUCUUAAAUUUCCUUGGAAACAAAAAAAAAGUCCACUUUCUUGCUUAUUUUUCUCCAAGAACGUCCAAGAGGAAUGCAGUUUUCUUGCGUUUGGUUGUGCAUCAGAUUCUUGCCGACGAUACAGAUUAUGGCUGCUUUCACUCGUCUUCUUCAUAACAAAUAUUAGGUUUCAUUGGAGGGAUUUCUCUGUGAAUCAUUGUGAAAAACACUCUCCGAACUCAACAAUGGCGAAACUCAUUUUGCUUCUAACUCUAUGCAUUCUUCUGGCUUUGGUGCUCGCUACUCGCCCCCUCAAAAAAGCCAAUGAUUGUAUAAGGAUGAGUUAACUGCGAUACCUGCCUUGUCAGUUUCGAGACCUCCGCUUCCAACUACAUCGCUGGUAGCCAUUAAAAUUUCUCUCUUUUUUCGCUUUUUUAUUUUUUUUUUUGGGGGGGGGGGGGGGAGGUGGGGAUUUGCUUGAAUACACUGUGAAUCGUAAUUAUCCAACACUAGUGAGUGAAAGAAGUCUUAGUUUGCUUAAUUUAUUUUAGAUCUGAGUCCGUAUUUGGGAGUGUAUUGUGAUUUUUUUUUCCUAAUUUUUGGUUGACUAAUCUGUGUUUAAUCUAAGUUAAAUGAAGAAUUUUAGUUUAGAUUAUUUAAAAGUAAAUAUAUUAUUAUUAUUAAGGGUUAGAGAUUGGGGGAUUUUCAACCUUCUAUCUGCAUUUGUAAAUCUAAAGAAAUCCUUAGUUGUUUAUCUGUUGUUUUAUAAAAAAGAAAAAGUGAAAAGAAAAGGGGGAGGGGGGCAUUUGCUUGAAUACGCUGUGAAUCAUAAUUAUCUGACACUAGUGAGUGAAAGAAGUCUUAGUUUGCUUAACUUAUUUCAGAUCUGAGUCCGUAUUUGGUGGAUUGUGAAACUACGCAUUUCUUUUUGUUAUUAUAUUGUGAAUUUUUAGGAAGUGUAUUGUGAUUUUUUUCCUAAUUUUUGGUUGACUGAUCUGUGUUUAAUCUAAGUUAAAUGAAGAAUCUCAGUGUAGAUUAUUUAAAAAUAAAUAUAUUAUUAUUAUUAAGGGUUAGAGAUUGGGGCAUUUUCAACCUUCUAUCUGCAUUUGUAAAUCUAAAGAAAUUCUUGGUUGUUUAUCUGUUGUUUUAUAAAAAAGAAAAAGUGAAAAGAAAAAGGAAAUUUAGAACAUUGAAUUUGAUU
Ziziphus jujuba (common jujube) is the source of this 1650-nucleotide long non-coding RNA. RefSeq lists it as uncharacterized. The transcript has 2 exons. Lineage: Eukaryota; Viridiplantae; Streptophyta; Magnoliopsida; Rosales; Rhamnaceae. The record is from RefSeq and is a predicted model, not a curated record.